CAGCAGAGGGGUAAGUUGUAGCUGCUAUAGUUUCUCUGGUAUAAUGGUAGAUCCUCAAGGAUUCGCCACUGAGGAAUCAGAUUUUAAUAAGGCUUACAAGAUUAGGUUUCAGUUGUUGCACCCAGAGAUUGAGUUACCAUUGUUUCUGAAUUAGGUUUGUGUUGCAUUUGUUUCUGAAUUAGGUUUGUGUUGCAUUUUCCUUCAUGCAGCGGAUCAUCCGGGUUAAAGAGAGAAAGAUACAGUGGUCAAGCAUGGGUUUGCCUAAGGUGUACCACAAAGGCCUUGAGGGAUUUGAAGCAUGAGGUUGGCUUGGUAACAACUCGCCAGGGUAACCUAGCGAGCUGGGUGGAGAGAUUGUGGACUUAAGAGUCAGAAUAACCACGAGAAAAAAAUCAGUGCAUGGCUGGCCAUGCAGCUGGGGCAGCGGCACAACAGCAGGGACAAGAUGGUUCUCUCUCUCCCUCUCUCUCUCUCUCUCUCUCUCUCUCACACAUUUCCCUCAACAGAAAGGAAAGGAAAGAGAAACAAAAAGAAAAGAACAUUACUUUCUGCAUGCUAUAAGCAGCAUCGAAGAAAUUUGCCUGGAGAUUUUCAGUAGUUUAUAUGGUAAUUUCCAGAACCACUGUUCCUCUACACUGUACAAAGUAUGAACAUACUGAUCUCUUCAAGGUGUCAGUGUAGUCCCAGUUGAAAUCAGUUUAUUUCUGGUGUGUGCGCGCACUCACACGUGUAUGUAUGUGUGUAUAUACAUUAAUAUGAAGAGACCAGGGGUGGGCUUUACUUUUUCAAACAGGAUUUGUCACUGAGCCUUGAGCUCACCAGCUGUUUGGAUUAACUGGACAGAGAGCCCCUGGGAUCUCCAAUUCCUGGUCUCCAAUUCUCAACGCUGAGAUUACAGGCCCACGACACCAUUCCUGGCUUCUUAGAGAUGCCCACUAAGCCAUCUCUCUCCAACUCCUGUCGUUUGAAAAAGAUUUAUUUAUUUAUUUUAUGUAUGUGAGUAUACUGUUGCUCUCUUCAGACACACUAGAAGAGGGCGUUGGUUCCCAUUACAGAUGGUUGUGAGCCACCAAGUGGUUGCUGGGAAUUGAACUGAGAACCUUUGAAAGAGCACUCAGUGCUCUUAACCACUGAGCCAUCUCCCCUGUCCCUCUAUUUCUUUAAAUAAAAUCUAUAGCUCGUUGGUAGAUGUUUCAACCACAGAAUGUGACAUACUUUCCUUAUUGCUUGUGUUCUCAUUUCUGUCUCUCUGUUAUCAAGUUUUCUGUACAGUUCAUCUUAUUUCCCAUGAUAAAUUCAUGUUUCAAAAGAUUUUAGAAAUUCUUCUUUUUGUCAACUUGAAUUCACAAUAUUUGUAUUUUUAUCUCUAUAUAACUGUAGACUUUGUAGAUGAAAAUAUUCUGUGACAGUGUCUAGAGGCAGUCCUUACCCCUUGGCUUAUGACCCCUGUCUUACAUUUUCAAAGCCAGUAGCACCUGCUCCAGGUUGAGUGCUGACCACAGUAACUAUGCUCCCUUGCUUUCGUCCCCCUUCUCUCCCUCAGGAAACUUUGGUUACAUGAGCCAACCUAGAUGAUUCAGGGGAACCUUCAGUGCUGUAGAACCUUUAACUUAGCGUAUCUCCAAAGACCCUAUUGUCCUGGAAUGAGAUGUGUUUAGAGACUCGGGAGUGGGGAAGAAGAUGAUUUCAACACUGUUCUGCCUGUCACAGAGAUAAUGUGAAUGAAGUGGCAAGCAGAGCAUUGUUAUACAAAAGAAGUCGGAUUCUUUUCAUAUCAAUAAGGGCUAUGCACAAUGAAUGGGGGAAGUGGAUAAGGGUGCCAGCCCUAACCAACAAGCUGUCUGUAAUUGAUAUCCUCUGGCAAAGGGAAAAUCAUUUUUCUCCAAUGGCAUGCCACUGGAUACAUUAACCACAUUCUAGGGCUAGUCCCAUGAUUAGGAAUAGUUGGCCAACACAAAAUGAACUCAGUGAUAUUUUUCUGGACUUUUUCAUAUAUAUAUACACACACACACAU
This 2014-nucleotide long non-coding RNA is filed under the name Mus musculus (house mouse). Its description in RNAcentral is "long non-coding RNA chr2:135646538-135648552". Lineage: Eukaryota; Metazoa; Chordata; Mammalia; Rodentia; Muridae. The record is from RNAcentral.